GAGUUUGAUCCUGGUUCAGAUUGAACGCUAGCGGGAUGCCUUACACAUGCAAGUCGAACGGCAGCACGGACUUCGGUCUGGUGGCGAGUGGCGAACGGGUGAGUAAUGUAUCGGAACGUGCCCAGUAGCGGGGGAUAACUACGCGAAAGCGUAGCUAAUACCGCAUACGCCCUACGGGGGAAAGCAGGGGAUCGCAAGACCUUGCACUAUUGGAGCGGCCGAUAUCGGAUUAGCUAGUUGGUGGGGUAACGGCUCACCAAGGCGACGAUCCGUAGCUGGUUUGAGAGGACGACCAGCCACACUGGGACUGAGACACGGCCCAGACUCCUACGGGAGGCAGCAGUGGGGAAUUUUGGACAAUGGGGGAAACCCUGAUCCAGCCAUCCCGCGUGUGCGAUGAAGGCCUUCGGGUUGUAAAGCACUUUUGGCAGGAAAGAAACGUCAUGGGUUAAUACCCCGUGAAACUGACGGUACCUGCAGAAUAAGCACCGGCUAACUACGUGCCAGCAGCCGCGGUAAUACGUAGGGUGCAAGCGUUAAUCGGAAUUACUGGGCGUAAAGCGUGCGCAGGCGGUUCGGAAAGAAAGAUGUGAAAUCCCAGAGCUUAAUUUUGGAACUGCAUUUUUAACUACCGGGCUAGAGUGUGUCAGAGGGAGGUGGAAUUCCGCGUGUAGCAGUGAAAUGCGUAGAUAUGCGGAGGAACACCGAUGGCGAAGGCAGCCUCCUGGGAUAACACUGACGCUCAUGCACGAAAGCGUGGGGAGCAAACAGGAUUAGAUAC
RNAcentral lists this ribosomal RNA (781 nucleotides) under uncultured Achromobacter sp. Its description in RNAcentral is "bacterial SSU rRNA". It matches the Rfam family "Bacterial small subunit ribosomal RNA", at positions 9 to 785 of the family's 1533-position model. The record is from RNAcentral. Lineage: Bacteria; Pseudomonadati; Pseudomonadota; Betaproteobacteria; Burkholderiales; Alcaligenaceae.